GUAUUGUUUAUGUGGGAUCCUGUAUUUGUGAAACUUAAGGAAUGGGAGGAAUAGUAGAAAUAAAAUAUCAGAAAGGAGUGUUCCAUAGAGUUAGGUUAAUGGAGAAGGUAUGCAGAUUCUAAAUAGUGUGGGUAAAUUUGUGGCUAGCAGUGGCUGUGGGCAGAUGCGUUGGAAGUUGUUCUGGGAGCAGAGGUCUGUGAACUCUUGGAGGAGGUAGGGGGCUUUUGGCUGCAUGUGAAGGAGACACUGGUUUAGGAUCUUCCCUACACAUUGGAGACACCCUCAACUCAGCCAGAUCAUGGUGAGCUUUAAUUUAAUUUAAUUUAAUUUAAUUUAAUUUGUUAUUUUAUUUUUGAGAUGGAGUCUCACUCUGUUGCCCAGGAGAAUUGCUUGAGCCCAGGAGGCUGACGUUGC
Molecule: small RNA, 414 nt
Filed under: Pongo abelii (Sumatran orangutan)
Lineage: Eukaryota; Metazoa; Chordata; Mammalia; Primates; Hominidae
Description: sense intronic
Source: RNAcentral